UGCUGACGAUGUCGUUGAUGAUGAUUAUGAAGAUGAUGAUGGUGAUGAUGGUGAUCAUCAUCAUUAUCAUCACCAUUAGCAUAAUUA
This 87-nucleotide microRNA precursor is filed under the name Anopheles darlingi. RNAcentral describes it as "microRNA mir-598". The record is from RNAcentral. Lineage: Eukaryota; Metazoa; Arthropoda; Insecta; Diptera; Culicidae.